AUGUGUAGCAAGCAAGAUCAAAUGUUAGCUUAUAUUUUCAUGCAUGGGAAGUUUGCUCUCACAUUGUUGGCACUUCCUAAAAAGAAGCAUCGUCCACACUACUUUUCUAGAAAAACAUUAUCCACACGCUAUGUACAGAACAACGUUGGAUACAUAGGUCCCACCAGGCUGAUCCUUACCUUUCCCCUUACUGGCUGUUGGAUGAGGCAACCUCCACCUGUUGAUUUCCCACGCAACUCUUUUGCAUCUCGCGUUGACCAACAACACCAACAACUUGUGUUGGCGACAGACUCUGCCCUCGCUGCCGCCCGCGCUUGCUGA
RNAcentral lists this ribosomal RNA (321 nucleotides) under Triticum aestivum (bread wheat). RNAcentral's name for it is "partial small subunit ribosomal RNA". Lineage: Eukaryota; Viridiplantae; Streptophyta; Magnoliopsida; Poales; Poaceae. The record is from RNAcentral.